UACGUAGGGGGCAAGCGUUGUCCGGAAUCAUUGGGCGUAAAGAGCGUGUAGGCGGCCAGAUAAGUCCGCUGUGAAAACUCGAGGCUCAACUUCGAGCUGUCGGCGGAAACUAUCUGGCUAGAGUCCGGAAGAGGAGAGUGGAAUUCCUGGUGUAGCGGUGGAAUGCGCAGAUAUCAGGAGGAACACCGGUGGCGAAGGCGGGUCUCUGGGCAGUAACUGACGCUGAGGAGCGAAAGCGUGGGGAGCGAACAGG
RNAcentral lists this ribosomal RNA (253 nucleotides) under uncultured bacterium. RNAcentral's name for it is "partial 16S ribosomal RNA". It matches the Rfam family "Bacterial small subunit ribosomal RNA", at positions 524 to 776 of the family's 1533-position model. The record is from RNAcentral.